Molecule: unclassified non-coding RNA, 2409 nt
Filed under: Hevea brasiliensis (rubber tree)
Lineage: Eukaryota; Viridiplantae; Streptophyta; Magnoliopsida; Malpighiales; Euphorbiaceae
Source: RNAcentral
AGAGAGAGAGAGAGAGAGAGAAUCUUUAGGGAGGUCAGCAAGAGCACUCUUUGCUUCCUCAGCUGAAUAACCUAACGUUUUUAGAGGGCUCUCUCCUGGGUUGCGUGCGGUUCGCUCUAUAUUCCCCGUUUCCUGUUUUUAGGUUCCUGAGCGUGGGAGAUAUAAAGGAAUCUCUCAUUCUCUCUCAUAUUAUCUCUCUGGUUAUUAUUAUUUUUUUAAAAUCUGCAUCUUAAUUUCAUUCUAUACCCAAAUCACAUCUCUCUUGUCACCUCUUAUGCCAAAAGCAAUAGAACGCACUAAGCGUGCUGAGAAAACAUACAAAAGUCGCUAUUAUAUAUGUCUCUUUUCUUUGCCUUUGGCCUUUGAGUUGUUAAAACACUCAACUUUGUGGUUUUCUUUCUCUUGGGUGGGGUUGUUGUCAUUAUUUUCUGUUCUGAGUGUGUUGGGUUUAAGGAUUUUUAAGGCUUGAAGCUGUAAAAGCUGGCUCUUGUGUUGGCAGUUGUAUCGCUAUUUCCUGUCUGGUUUUUAAAUUUUUUUAGAGGUCCGAAGAGUUCCUUUUAAUCAUUUGAGGAUGCUGGUCUUCAAGUUCUUGAGUGCUGGUUAAAGGACUAUUAGCAGAAGUGGGAUUUUCCUGUAUUCUUGCUUCUUUCUGGUGUUUAAAGUUAAACAAGUGAUAUUUAUCUGCUGAAUGGAGGGUUGUUCAAAGAUUACUGAGGCAUGUCCUCAGUUACUGGAUUUGAUUCCAAGAGAAAGGGAAUGGCUAGUUAAAAGAGCUGAUGAAAGAUCCUCAGAGGAGAAGAAGCUUGAACUAAGGCUUGGUCCACCUGGUGAAGAAUGGUCUCUUCGCGAGAACGCUAAAAACGCAGAUGAUAGAGAAAGAGAUGAAUCUCUUCUCUCUCUUGGGUACUUCUCCAAUGGAAACCAACAUACCCGCAAAUUUUCUUCACCUGAAAACCUACAGCCUGGUUCUGUAUGGUUCAAUCAACAACUAUCACAACAAGCGAAGGCUACUCCAUUUCUCCAGUUUCCAUCAAAAACAGUAACAACACGACAGAGCCUGCCUGUAAUGGCAAAGGAAUCCUCACAGCCCUGUUGCACUAAAGUGGUUGUAGACUUGCAGCAGAGCGCAGAAAAGAAGGCGUUUUCACCGCCAGCUCCUGCAAAUACAGCUGUUGUGCCCAGCAGCUCUCAGAAAAGAACUGCUCCUGGUUCAGUUGUGGGUUGGCCUCCAAUUCGUUCAUCCAGGAAGAAUCUUGCAAGCAGCAGCUCGUCAAAACCUGUUACUGACUCACAAAAUGAAAGCCCAAACAAGAAGGUUGCUAGUGAAAAACCAGUUGAAACUUGCAAAAAAGGGAUGUUUGUAAAGAUCAAUAUGGAUGGUGUUCCCAUUGGAAGGAAAGUAGAUCUUACAGCCUAUGACAGCUAUGAGAAACUGUCCACUGUUGUUGAUGAACUCUUCAGAGGCCUCCUAGCAGCUCAAAGAGAUUCCUCUGCUGGUGGAAUCAUGAGUGAGCAAGAGGAAGAGAAAGCGUUUAUGGGCGUAUUGGAUGGAAGUGGGGAAUAUACCCUUGUUUAUGAGGAUAAUGAAGGAGACAGGAUGCUUGUUGGGGAUGUGCCAUGGCAGUAAGCAUCUUUAUCACUAUGCAAAUUUUUUAUUAUUCACUCAUAUUAUAUUCCUAGCAGAACACCAUUAUAUGCUUUUAUGUCGUUUAUUGUGACUAUGAUAACUGUAUUAGAUUCUUAGUAAACACUUAUAUAUAACAAAUCAUCAAUGGUGUCUAUUGUUUAUCCAUGCAAUCCCACAAUUCAAUGCAAUGGCUUGCCUUUUUUCACAUAAAGAAACUGUACUAUUUUUCUUUCCUGUGCUCUUCUAAGAUUUAAUAUUAUUUCAACCAUGUGAUAAUCUGCUUUCUUGAAUUGUAGCAUGUUUGUGUCGACGGUGAAGAGGCUUCGUGUAUUGAAGAGCUCUGAAGUUUCUGCGCUGAGCCGUGAGUUGAUUAAUUAUCUGAUGAAGAAUCUUGGAUUCUUUACUGAAGUAUUACUUACUCCCUCUAAUUCGUGCUUAAUCAGAAAGUUUGUGUUGUUUUCAGUUGGAAGCAGUAAGCAAAAGGCAAAGUACCAAUGAAAUGAGAAGAAUGAAUUUUGCUGUGAAGAUUCUCUUUUGAAGCUUGAAGGAGAGAAGAAGACUUGAAUUUUAUUAUGUUCUUUAAUUGACAUUUUGUUUUUCUAUAAUAUUUGUAUGCAACUCACAGUAUAUAAUAUGUCUAUGCCUAGCUUUCAUAUGUUUACCCUUUAACCCUCCAAUGAACUUGCUCUCUUUAAUUGAAUAAAAUCAUUAAUGGCAUAUUGAUCUGUCAACCCCCUGCAAAAUUUGCAAGAAUAAUGGGCUGUAAAGCUCCUACACUUUAU